UGUAGGAGCGAGCCUGCUCGCGAUAGCGGUGGGUCAGUCAACAUCAAUGUUGGAUGUGACUCAGCCAUCGCGAGCAGGCUCGCUCCUACA
This 90-nucleotide non-coding RNA is filed under the name Pseudomonas sp. GV085. Lineage: Bacteria; Pseudomonadati; Pseudomonadota; Gammaproteobacteria; Pseudomonadales; Pseudomonadaceae. The record is from RNAcentral.